This 21-nucleotide microRNA is filed under the name Ananas comosus (pineapple). RNAcentral describes it as "microRNA s0211_c082". The record is from RNAcentral. Lineage: Eukaryota; Viridiplantae; Streptophyta; Magnoliopsida; Poales; Bromeliaceae.
CAGAGGUCUCCGUGUUCCUGA